Molecule: ribosomal RNA, 496 nt
Filed under: uncultured bacterium
Lineage: Bacteria
Description: partial 16S ribosomal RNA
Rfam family: Bacterial small subunit ribosomal RNA
Source: RNAcentral
GAUGAACGCUGGCGGCGUGCCUAAUACAUGCAAGUCGAGCGAACAGAUGAGGAGCUUGCUCCUCUGACGUUAGCGGCGGACGGGUGAGUAACACGUGGAUAACCUACCUAUAAGACUGGGAUAACUUCGGGAAACCGGAGCUAAUACCGGAUAAUAUAUUGAACCGCAUGGUUCAAUAGUGAAAGACGGUUUUGCUGUCACUUAUAGAUGGAUCCGCGCCGCAUUAGCUAGUUGGUAAGGUAACGGCUUACCAAGGCAACGAUGCGUAGCCGACCUGAGAGGGUGAUCGGCCACACUGGAACUGAGACACGGUCCAGACUCCUACGGGAGGCAGCAGUAGGGAAUCUUCCGCAAUGGGCGAAAGCUUGACGGAGCAACGCCGCGUGAGUGAUGAAGGUCUUCGGAUCGUAAAACUCUGUUAUUAGGAAGAACAAAUGUGUAAGUAACUAUGCACGUCUUGACGGUACCUAAUCAGAAAGCCACGGCUAACUACGUG